UACGGAGGGUGCAAGCGUUAAUCGGAAUUACUGGGCGUAAAGCGCGCGUAGGUGGUUUGGUAAGCGAGAUGUGAAAGCCCCGGGCUUAACCUGGGAACGGCAUUUCGAACUGUCAGACUAGAGUGUGGUAGAGGGUAGUGGAAUUUCCUGUGUAGCGGUGAAAUGCGUAGAUAUAGGAAGGAACACCAGUGGCGAAGGCGGCUACCUGGACCAACACUGACGCUGAGGUGCGAGAGCGUGGGGAGCAAACAGG
RNAcentral lists this ribosomal RNA (253 nucleotides) under uncultured microorganism. Its description in RNAcentral is "partial 16S ribosomal RNA". It matches the Rfam family "Bacterial small subunit ribosomal RNA", at positions 524 to 776 of the family's 1533-position model. The record is from RNAcentral.